Long non-coding RNA from Diachasmimorpha longicaudata, 409 nucleotides. RefSeq lists it as uncharacterized. The transcript has 2 exons. NCBI's taxonomy places the organism in Eukaryota, Metazoa, Arthropoda, Insecta, Hymenoptera, Braconidae. The record is from RefSeq and is a predicted model, not a curated record.
UCUGUAGAUUCAAUUCAUGGCGACGAUAAAAAGAUUCGAAUGUAGAUAGCCGGUGAUAGUUCUUCAAAAAAUAAAUGUAUUCCGUUGUUUGUACUCGAUUUGUACCCGUUUUUACUGAUCUUAAAAUAUUUAUGAAAUACAGAAGUGUCAUGCAAGAAGCUUAUUUCGAUUAUCAUUAGUAAAAUAUAAUAAAUAUUGGAAUCAUCAGCAAAUUGGCCAUAAAAAAAAUCAUAUUGAAGACCUUUGUCGAAGAUGACAGAUAAUGACAGAAAUCUGUCCAUAGACACAUUAAAAAGCUGGAAACCUAAUGGGGACGAAAAGAUAGUAUCACUUAAAUAACUCUACUAUUUAUCUAGCGUUAUUAUCGGGGAUAAUUAUCAGUGGAGAUAAUGUAUGACGCAGCUUGGCC